Long non-coding RNA from Chelonia mydas (Green sea turtle), 899 nucleotides. RefSeq lists it as uncharacterized. The record is from RefSeq and is a predicted model, not a curated record. The transcript has 5 exons. NCBI's taxonomy places the organism in Eukaryota, Metazoa, Chordata, Testudines, Cheloniidae.
AGUUGCUGAGAAGGGGGCAAGCCCAGGAAAUGGUGGCCAUGUCUGUGGACACUGCAGCGAGUGAGACAACUCCUGCAAGGUUCUGAGCCAGCAGGGGGAAAGCUCAAGAAGCAGGAGAAAGUGAGGAAAGGUCUCCAGGUGGGGAAGCCUGGGAGAGACCCAGUCCAAGCAGGGGAGAGACUGCCAAGGCCCAGUGGGAAAGGCCUGUGGAGGAGGACAAAGAGGAGGUGCUGGGAAGCAGGAAGACAGUCCCUCGGGGAGGUAGGACUGUGCCCAGCUGAAGUUGGGAUCAAGACAGGAUGGGAAGGAUCCUUUAGAGCUAGAACCAGCUUGGUGGAUGGCCAUCGAGAGUUACAGCAGAACCUCUCUCUGUUUUCUACCUACUUUCCAUACAGGGAUGCAUUCUAUGCAUGGAUGAAGAUGUUCUCACAGAAUAAGAAGCAACUCUUUAGCCAUAACAUCAGUUUAGCUCCAGGUGCAGAUGAACAUUGGGGGCUGCUUCUUAUCCCAUCCAGUGCAAUUGUGGUGCAGUGGCUGUCAUUCGCUAUCUCUCACCCCAUGAAGAUCAGAUAGGAAAAUCCUGGUACUUACGAGUGAUGGUCACUUGGGUUCCGGCUCCUGACGCAGACCAGUUCCUUGCUGUGCUCCCCACCUCGCACAGAACCAUGAAUCUACACUCCACGGUGAGAUCUGACCCUUCACACACAUCGAUAUUGCCUGGGGUCUGAUUCACCGUCAGCUCGGGAAAAUCUGCAGGAGAGAAACACAGACGAUUGCACCUUGAUGUAGGAGAAUUUCAGUGGCAAUGGCUGAUGACUGGGGAUGUAUUAAAAUAAAUGUCUCCCCCUCCAGUAUUUUGUGUUCUUUUCCCAGCCUGGCCAUUUAACAUCCCCUACUUA